This 251-nucleotide ribosomal RNA is filed under the name uncultured bacterium. RNAcentral's name for it is "partial 16S ribosomal RNA". It matches the Rfam family "Bacterial small subunit ribosomal RNA", at positions 524 to 776 of the family's 1533-position model. The record is from RNAcentral.
GACGGGGGGGGCAAGUGUUCUUCGGAAUGACUGGGCGUAAAGGGCACGUAGGCGGUGAAUCGGGUUGAAAGUGAAGGUCGCCAAAAAGUGGCGGAAUGCUCUCGAAACCAAUUCACUAGAGUGAGACAGAGGAGAGUGGAAUUUCGUGUGUAGGGGUGAAAUCCGUAGAUAUCCGGAGGAACACCAGUGGCGAAGGCGACUUUCUGGCCUGUUCUUGACGCUGAGGCGCGAAAGCUAGGGGAGCAAACGGG